RNAcentral lists this ribosomal RNA (492 nucleotides) under uncultured bacterium. RNAcentral describes it as "bacterial SSU rRNA". It matches the Rfam family "Bacterial small subunit ribosomal RNA", at positions 15 to 507 of the family's 1533-position model. The record is from RNAcentral.
GAUCAUGGCUCAGGAUGAACGCUGGCGGCGUGCUUAACACAUGCAAGUCGAACGAAGCACUUAAUGAGAUUUCUUCGGAUUGAUUAUUUUGUGACUGAGUGGCGGACGGGUGAGUAACGCGUGGGUAACCUGCCCCAGACCGGGGGAUAACAGUCGGAAACGACUGCUAAUACCGCAUAAGCGCACAGUGCCGCAUGGCACAGUGUGAAAAACUCCGGUGGUCUGGGAUGGACCCGCGUCCGAUUAGUUAGUUGGCGGGGUAACGGCCCACCAAGACCGCGAUCGGUAGCCGACCUGAGAGGGUGACCGGCCACAUUGGGACUGAGACACGGCCCAGACUCCUACGGGAGGCAGCAGUGGGGAAUAUUGCACAAUGGAGGAAACUCUGAUGCAGCGACGCCGCGUGAGCGAAGAAGUAUUUCGGUAUGUAAAGCUCUGUCAGCAGGGAAGAUAAUGACGGUACCUGACCAAGAAGCCCCGGCUAACUACGUG